This 494-nucleotide ribosomal RNA is filed under the name uncultured bacterium. RNAcentral's name for it is "partial 16S ribosomal RNA". It matches the Rfam family "Bacterial small subunit ribosomal RNA", at positions 28 to 507 of the family's 1533-position model. The record is from RNAcentral.
GACGAACGCUGGCGGCGUGCUUAACACAUGCAAGUCGAACGGAAAGGCCUGCCUUCCCUUGUGGAUUGCGGGUACUCGAGUGGCGAACGGGUGAGUAACACGUGAGUGAUCUGCCCCCAACUUGGGUAUAAGCCUGGGAAACUGGGUCUAAUUCCCGAUAGGACUGCAGGGUGGUGCCUGUGGUGGAAAACGAUUUUCUAGUGGUUGGGGAUGAGCUCGCGGCCUAUCAGCUUGUUGGUGGGGUAAUGGCCUACCAAGGCGGCGACGGGUAGCCGGCCUGGGAGGGUGGACGGCCACAUUGGGACUGAGAUACGGCCCAGACUCCUACGGGAGGCAGCAGUGGGGAAUAUUGCACAAUGGGCGGAAGCCUGAUGCAGCGACGCCGCGUGGUGGAUGACGGCCUUCGGGUUGUAAACUCCUUUCGACCGCGAGGAAGCCACCUGGUUGGAAGGGUGGUGACGGUAGUGGUAGAAGAAGCACCGGCUAACUACGUG